AGGGUGUAAACGCUGCAGACUUGGUGUUGGAAGCCCUUUGGGGGCAUUCAGUGCCGGAGAGAAGUUGUUAAGUCUGCUACUUGGGGAGUACGUCCGCAAGGAUGAAACUUAAAGGAAUUGGCGGGGGAGCACCGCAACGGGAGGAGCGUGCGGUUUAAUUGGAUUCAACACCGUAAAACUCACCAGGGAAGACUGUUACAUGAAGGCCGAGAUGACCUUACUAGAUUUUCAGAGAGGAGGUGCAUGGCGUCAGUGACU
Molecule: ribosomal RNA, 258 nt
Filed under: uncultured archaeon
Lineage: Archaea
Description: partial 16S ribosomal RNA
Rfam family: Archaeal small subunit ribosomal RNA
Source: RNAcentral